RNAcentral lists this transfer RNA (82 nucleotides) under Blumeria graminis f. sp. tritici JIW2. Its description in RNAcentral is "tRNA-Leu (AAG) (tRNA-Leu-AAG-3-1)". It matches the Rfam family "tRNA". Rfam says of the family: Transfer RNA (tRNA) molecules are approximately 80 nucleotides in length. Their secondary structure includes four short double-helical elements and three loops (D, anti-codon, and T loops). Lineage: Eukaryota; Fungi; Ascomycota; Leotiomycetes; Helotiales; Erysiphaceae. The record is from RNAcentral.
GGACAGAUGGCCGAGCUGGUUAUGGCGCCAGGUUAAGGUCCUGGUCACGAAAGUGGCGUGGAUUCAAGUCCCACUCUGUUCA